This 865-nucleotide ribosomal RNA is filed under the name Campylobacter coli. RNAcentral describes it as "bacterial SSU rRNA". It matches the Rfam family "Bacterial small subunit ribosomal RNA", at positions 665 to 1533 of the family's 1533-position model. Lineage: Bacteria; Pseudomonadati; Campylobacterota; Epsilonproteobacteria; Campylobacterales; Campylobacteraceae. The record is from RNAcentral. RNAcentral also lists the same sequence under 1 other name.
AAUUGGUGGUGUAGGGGUAAAAUCCGUAGAUAUCACCAAGAAUACCCAUUGCGAAGGCGAUCUGCUGGAACUCAACUGACGCUAAGGCGCGAAAGCGUGGGGAGCAAACAGGAUUAGAUACCCUGGUAGUCCACGCCCUAAACGAUGUACACUAGUUGUUGGGGUGCUAGUCAUCUCAGUAAUGCAGCUAACGCAUUAAGUGUACCGCCUGGGGAGUACGGUCGCAAGAUUAAAACUCAAAGGAAUAGACGGGGACCCGCACAAGCGGUGGAGCAUGUGGUUUAAUUCGAAGAUACGCGAAGAACCUUACCUGGGCUUGAUAUCCUAAGAACCUUUUAGAGAUAAGAGGGUGCUAGCUUGCUAGAACUUAGAGACAGGUGCUGCACGGCUGUCGUCAGCUCGUGUCGUGAGAUGUUGGGUUAAGUCCCGCAACGAGCGCAACCCACGUAUUUAGUUGCUAACGGUUCGGCCGAGCACUCUAAAUAGACUGCCUUCGUAAGGAGGAGGAAGGUGUGGACGACGUCAAGUCAUCAUGGCCCUUAUGCCCAGGGCGACACACGUGCUACAAUGGCAUAUACAAUGAGACGCAAUACCGCGAGGUGGAGCAAAUCUAUAAAAUAUGUCCCAGUUCGGAUUGUUCUCUGCAACUCGAGAGCAUGAAGCCGGAAUCGCUAGUAAUCGUAGAUCAGCCAUGCUACGGUGAAUACGUUCCCGGGUCUUGUACUCACCGCCCGUCACACCAUGGGAGUUGAUUUCACUCGAAGCCGGAAUACUAAACUAGUUACCGUCCACAGUGGAAUCAGCGACUGGGGUGAAGUCGUAACAAGGUAACCGUAGGAGAACCUGCGGUUGGAUCACCUCCUUU